Molecule: ribosomal RNA, 301 nt
Filed under: uncultured bacterium
Lineage: Bacteria
Description: partial 16S ribosomal RNA
Rfam family: Bacterial small subunit ribosomal RNA
Source: RNAcentral
CAGUAGCCACGGUAAUACGAAGGGUGCAAGCGUUACUCGGAAUUACUGGGCGUAAAGCGUGCGCAGGUGGUGGUUUAAGUCCGUUGUGAAAGCCCUGGGCUCAACCUGGGAAUUGCAGUGGAUACUGGGUCACUAGAGUGUGGUAGAGGAUAGUGGAAUUUCCGGUGUAGCAGUGAAAUGCGUAGAGAUCGGAAGGAACAUCUGUGGCGAAGGCGACUAUCUGGGCCAACACUGACACUGAGGCACGAAAGCGUGGGGAGCAAACAGGAUUAGAUACCCCUGUAGUCCCUGUCUCUUAUAC